GUAGGGUGCGAGCGUUGUCCGGAAUUAUUGGGCGUAAAGAGCUCGUAGGCGGUUUGUCGCGUCGUUCGUGAAAACUCCACGCUUAACGUGGAGCGUGCGGGCGAUACGGGCAGACUUGAGUUCGGUAGGGGAGACUGGAAUUCCUGGUGUAGCGGUGAAAUGCGCAGAUAUCAGGAGGAACACCGGUGGCGAAGGCGGGUCUCUGGGCCGAUACUGACGCUGAGGAGCGAAAGCGUGGGGAGCGAACAGGAUUAGAUACCCUGGUAGUCCACGCUGUAAACGUUGGGCGCUAGGUGUGGGCGACAUCCACGUUGUCCGUGCCGUAGCUAACGCAUUAAGCGCCCCGCCUGGGGAGUACGGCCGCAAGGCUAAA
Molecule: ribosomal RNA, 373 nt
Filed under: uncultured bacterium
Lineage: Bacteria
Description: bacterial SSU rRNA
Rfam family: Bacterial small subunit ribosomal RNA
Source: RNAcentral